Harmonia axyridis is the source of this 71-nucleotide non-coding RNA. The record is from the annotation of a RefSeq genome assembly. NCBI's taxonomy places the organism in Eukaryota, Metazoa, Arthropoda, Insecta, Coleoptera, Coccinellidae.
UCCUCGGUAGCUCAUUGGUAAGCUCUGGACUAGCGAUUCAGAGGUUGCGGGUUCGAUUCCCGCUCGAGGAG